CUUCACAAGCAGAAGAUGGGUCUUGAGGCCCCCCACUUGUUCCAAUGAAUCAGAGGGAAUUUUCAUUCAAAGAUUUCUAUGCCUUUUUCAAGCAUCAGCCAGCAAGGCCUAGAAAUACUCUGACAAUACAGGACAGCAAUGUGGAGUCCAGACCUCCUUGGUGACAGCAUGGCCAUACUGACCUCUGCAACAGAAGAUGGGCAACAGAACUUAAAGCAGUAGCUGUACCUGCACAGCAAAAUACAUCUUAAUACACUCUCAGAUCGGGGCAAGGCACUUAAACGUACUCCACGUGUUUCAGGAACAUCUGUUGUCUUAUCAUCAUCUGAGAACAAAUUGGCCAACCCCCAUCAGAAAUGCCACUAAUACGUGCUCACAGCGAGAGUCCAGGUCUACCACCCUGUUGUCUAAAUCCCCAUCCGACUAGCACCGUACAAACUCCAGGAGACACACGGGCAUCGAGAGCUGCUGCCACAAACCAAGUUAAACUCCGCUUUCCUUGACUAGGAAGGCUGUUGGUGAGCUGAGUCCUGGGUCUGCUG
This is a long non-coding RNA of Calidris pugnax (ruff), 542 nucleotides long. RefSeq lists it as uncharacterized. The record is from RefSeq and is a predicted model, not a curated record. NCBI's taxonomy places the organism in Eukaryota, Metazoa, Chordata, Aves, Charadriiformes, Scolopacidae. The transcript has 5 exons.